Molecule: long non-coding RNA, 544 nt
Filed under: Hordeum vulgare
Lineage: Eukaryota; Viridiplantae; Streptophyta; Magnoliopsida; Poales; Poaceae
Description: long non-coding RNA (HVUL_LNC005289)
Source: RNAcentral
GCUCCGGGAUGCUCCGGGCGGAGGAGCCCAAUGACUUGCUCGACGCCGGCCGCGCGCCCGAGCUGUCGGACGUGCUCGUAGCAGUAGCGCUGCAGGCUGGCGACGCGGCCGAGGCGCCGGCGGCUGGUACGGACGCGUGGUGGGAGCUCGGCCCCGUGCAUGCGGCGUAGGAGGAGGCAGCGGCUGCCUGUGAUGGCGGCGCCGAGGACUCCGGCCGCCUCUUGCGCCUCCAUUUGUCCCGGCAUAGGCAUAGGCAGCCCAUUUCUUGGAGGAAGCUGGCGAAAUUGAGGACGAUCGUAGUGGUUUGUUGCCUACCCCGAAUCACAAAGAGAAACACCAAGGCUUGGCGAUAAAAGAAAGGAGCUUUGUCGUCUCCUAGUUCUUACGCUUCUCGUAGCAUCUCUGAAAACAACACAACCGACGGACCAAUCGAUCAAUCAAGAAGUUAAGUUUCUGACAGCUAGAAGGUCCGGAGACGAGAAAGCAAAAGCCCGACAGAUGGAAGAAACCCCAAAAGAAAAGAAAAAAAACUGAAUCGGAANNN